AACGAACGCUGGCGGCAGGCCUAACACAUGCAAGUCGAGCGGACCUUUCGGGGUCAGCGGCGGACGGGUGAGUAACGCGUGGGAAUAUGCCCUUCUCUACGGUAUAGUCCUGGGAAACUGGGGGUAAUACCGUAUACGCCCUUUGGGGGUAAGAUUUAUCGGGGAAGGAUUAGCCCGCGUUGGAUUAGGUAGUUGGUGGGGUAAUGGCCUACCAAGCCGACGAUCCUUAGCUGGUUUGAGAGGAUGAUCAGCCACACUGGGACUGAGACACGGCCCAGACUCCUACGGGAGGCAGCAGUGGGGAAUCUUAGACAAUGGGGGCAACCCUGAUCUAGCCAUGCCGCGUGAGUGAUGAAGGCCUUAGGGUUGUAAAGCUCUUUCAGCUGGGAAGAUAAUGACGGUACCAGCAGAAGAAGCCCCGGCUAACUCCGUG
RNAcentral lists this ribosomal RNA (433 nucleotides) under uncultured bacterium. RNAcentral's name for it is "partial 16S ribosomal RNA". It matches the Rfam family "Bacterial small subunit ribosomal RNA", at positions 29 to 507 of the family's 1533-position model. The record is from RNAcentral.